AUUCCCGGGGGUGUGUACCCGAUGCGCUCUUGCCGUGCCCGCUACGCUUGCACUCGUGCGCUGUUCCACUGAACCGCGCAAAGCCGACAGCCGUCGCACUCCAGGGAGCAUUUCCAUG
Molecule: small RNA, 118 nt
Filed under: Streptomyces oceani
Lineage: Bacteria; Bacillati; Actinomycetota; Actinomycetes; Kitasatosporales; Streptomycetaceae
Description: Streptomyces sp. SCSIO 02100 Streptomyces-metH RNA
Rfam family: Streptomyces-metH RNA
Source: Rfam by way of RNAcentral